AGGGUGUGCUAGAAGGAGUCCAUUGAAUUGCACACAGGACAUCUUUCAGAAUUUUAUAGGGCUUAAGUUGCCGGAUACAUCCCUUUCCUGGUAUGAUACAAGCAUGAGUCUAGUAGAAUGCAAGGACAAGUGUCUAAAAAACUGCAAUUGCACGGCAUAUGCAAAUUCAAAUAUCACAGGAGAAGGCAGUGGCUGCAUACUCUGGUUUGGUGAAUUGGUUGAUAUGAGAGAGUUUAGUUAUGGGGGCCAAGACCUCUACAUAAGGAUGCCACCACCUUUGAAAACAGGUAUUUUUCAAUAUUCUUCCCAUGAUUCUCAAGCAGGUUAUUUUUUUUCACUCUUUCCCUCUGUUUCUUUUUUUUUUUUUUUUGAAAUGAAGAAGUUGUAUGUUCCUUAAAUGGUUUCCUAACUUCGUGUCCUCAUUUCCUCAUUCUAUUUACAAAUAAAACAGAACUCCUUUCUCUGUUUAUUGUGGGUUUUCAGAUCAGACGACGUCAAACACAAAUUCUGGUAAGAAGAAGCUUUUAGGAAUCAUACUCGGUUCCACACUCCUUGCUGGAGUGCUUAUGGUAGGACUAACCUUCUAUAUAUGGAGAAAGAAGCAGAGAAAGCAAGGUAGUGUACUUUGGACAAUUCUUCUUAUUCCAGAACAUGGACCUUGUUGAUAUAUAUAGUAUGCAUGGUAGAUUACUACUAUUGUAGAAUUUUAUGUUAGUCAUCGAUAACAAAAUGAAGAAUUUGUUAGAUCAUGCUGUUAGUCAAUUAGCUUUGAUAAGGAGAAGCUGUUCGUUUAUCAUUGCUGACAACUGAUCAAUCUUCUGCUAUUCAGAAAUAGAGGAAGACAUGGAGUUACCAUCGUUUCAUUUGGCCACCAUAGUGAAAGCAACGGAUAACUUUUCAAGCAACAACAAGUUGGGACAAGGUGGUUUUGGACCGGUAUAUAAGGUAUAUAACAACGUGCUUCAAAGCAGAGUGAUCAUCUACUAUGAGAUAUUCUAACUUCAGUAAAUAACAAUUCCCAGGGUACAUUGAUUGAUGGGCAAGAAAUAGCAGUGAAAAGACUUUCAAAAAGUUCUCGGCAAGGAUUGACAGAGUUCAAGAAUGAAGUUAUCUUGAUAGCUAAGCUUCAGCACAGAAAUCUUGUUAAACUUCUUGGCUGUUGCAUUCAAGGAGAUGAAGUAAUGUUGAUCUAUGAAUUCAUGCCCAACAAAAGCUUAGAUUGUUUUAUUUUCGGUUUGUACCCCAAGAACUGGUUAGAGUUUCUUGCAGUUAGAUUGCUUGUUCUAUGAUGUUUCAUUUAUACAUCAGAAUAACAUAACAUUAUGAUAAAUUGAUUAGAUCAAACAAGAAACAAAUUCCUGGACUGGCAGAGACGUAACCUCAUUAUCGGUGGCAUUGCUAGAGGACUACUUUAUCUUCAUCAAGACUCUAGACUAAGGAUUAUCCAUAGAGAUCUCAAAGCCAGCAACAUAUUAUUAGAUAAGGAUAUGAACCCCAAAAUUUCAGAUUUCGGAAUGGCUAGACUGUUUGGAGGAGAUCAAAUUGAAGCAGACACAAAUAAAGUGGUCGGAACAUAGUAAGUACACUCUACACCUAUUUUGUUACAAUGUAUAAUCUCCUCACAUUUAAACUUUUUCUGAUAAUGUUUUUCCGCAGUGGAUACAUGUCCCCUGAGUACGUUGUUGAUGGGCGUUUCUCACUGAAAUCCGACGUCUUCAGCUUCGGUGUUUUAGUCUUGGAGAUAAUAAGUGGGAAGAAAAAUAGAGGAUUCUCCCACCCGGAUCACUACCAUAAUCUUCUUGGACAUGUAAGGAUAAAAUUAAACAUGUUAAUUUAAUUAUGUAUUGACAAUUUUUAUCAUAACAAGUUUUUGUUUUCAAGGCAUGGAAACUGUGGACGGAAGAGAGGGCAUUGGAGCUUCUUGACAAUAUGUCAGAUCGCCCGUAUUCUGUAUCUGAAGUAUUGAGAUGCAUUCAUGUGGGUCUGCUAUGCGUGCAACAAAAGCCGGAAGACAGACCAAAUAUGUCAUCUGUGGUUUUGAUGUUGGGCAGUGAGAAUUCAUUGCCUGACCCAAAGCAACCUGGUUUUUUCACGGAAAGGAAUAUGCCCGCAGUGGACUCUUCAUCAGGAAAUCAUGAAUCAUCGUCUAUAAAUGACCUAACUAUUUCAGAGCUAGAUGCACGGUAGAAGAUUGGCUCUGAUGGUUAAAAGGAAGAGCUAUAUAUAUAUAUAUAUAUGUAUGUAUAUUCUAGCCAAAUCCAAGGCAUAUAACAGAAAUUAAAUAUUUUCUGCUAUAAUUAUGUUGAUGUAUUAUUUUUACCUGUCUACAAGUCCUCUGCAAGUACUAGUGCGAAUACAGAUAGACAGAAUGCUUGAGGAUUCACAUCUCUGGACUGCACAAUAUCUGUACUUGUUUGCUUCGAGCCGUCGAAUUUAAUGCACGGAUCUGGGUUCAAGAUCUAUAUAUGCUAGAGCCUCACUGGCUUCUAACCCAAAAAGAAUCCAUUAGAAUUGUCAAUAUAUAAUUAGUAAAAAAAAAUUACAUACAAUUUAAACAAUCCAAAUUUAUAAUUCAAAUUUACAUUAUAUUUUUCAUAACAUGUUAAAAAAAUAUAUUUUUAACAACCAUACAAGGAGCUAUAGUCUUUCCUUGAUUGAUUUCAUAGCACCUUAAACUUAGCCUUGACCUAACCCUUUUAGGGAUAAAUAUUAUAGGUACGAGUACCUUGAUGAUACUUAGCCUUUGUAGGGGAAUCCGACCGGUGAUGUUUUGAUAUUUGCUCAUAGUAGGCUAAGCACACUAACACAAUAUUUAACGUGGUUCGACAAACCGCCUACAUCCACGGGAGAAACCAUUUGAUUAUAUAGGGAGAGAACAAGAUUUACAACAGUAGAGGAGGAGGAAUCAUCCCCUCUUUGGCAACUCUCAACCUCACUCUAUUUUUCUCUUCUCAAUGCUGCAUUGGCAGCUACUGCUGGCUGCCUUGGCAGCCCACUCUCUCUUACAUUUCUCUCAUAUUUGGCUCUACUUUCACUCUCAUUUUGCUCUCUAAAAUCAUGCCUCUUUUAUAGGCAUCAAUGGCAGCUCCUCUUGCUCCUUUGUCAGCAAUGGUGGCUUCCAAACUUACCAAACUUUGACAAUAGACAAUGGUUGUUGGCUGCCACCAACAACCCACCAUUAUAGCCUCAUUCUUUGACUCUCACAUAGCAGUCAUCUUCUUUGACAUAGGCAGCCACAUAAUUGGCAAUAUUCCAACAAUCACCCCCUUUGCCAUUUAUGUGGGGCAACUAUCCUCUUGCUUCUUCAGCACAUGCUUGCAUCUUGCAGCUUUUCCAAGCUUACCAUUCAACCAGAUGGUUUGUCACAUCUCAUCUGAAGAGUGUUUAAUGCUUGUCUCUGGAACAACAUUCCCCUUCAAGCAUAUCAACCAUGCUUGGCCUGGAAUGAUUUAUCAAGCCUUACAUCAAGGCUUACAACACCCCCUCAAACUGAUAUUCCCAAGUGCGAUAGUCAUUGAGUAUUUUAAUGUGAUCACGAGCUCACCACUCUUCCAAGAGCCUACUCAUCCAGGAGUUGCGUCUGCCCUCUAUUCCACCCUAGGAACCACGCCUUACUUCUCCGUGAGUCUCUCACUCUUAGUCUCAAGAGUCCGGGUAGCAUCCACCUUUACUUAUGGGGGCAGCCCAUUAAAGGUUGAUCCAUAUCUAUCUUCAUACUCUGAGUAUUACAAUGCUUUCACCGAGCUCACCACCUUGACAAGAGUCAACUUGUUCCCGGAACCUGCGCAUGCCCUCUGCUCCUUCAUAGCAGUCGCGUCUUAAUGCUCCACAAGUCACCCACUUAUUGUCCAAGGUAAAUGUCUUCUAGCUCAUUGAUCUUUAGCAUGGGGGCAAUAUCCAUGAAAGUCAAUCCUGCAUUUGUCUUCAUACUCAUCAUAGACUCUUCAUUGGCUAUACACUUGUCCACUUAUAUCCAGCCAUCAUAUUGGCUCUAGGGCUGGGCUCUUUUCAUGGCCCUCACACCUUCUCGUGAGGUGUCUCCGCUCGUCGUCAUGCGAUAGUCUGAAUCUGGGCUAAUAUUAUAGCCCUCACACCGUCCAUCCGAGGUGUCUCCGUUCAUCGUCAUGCGGCUUCAUGUCCCUCACACCUUCUCCGAAGGUGUCUUCGCCCGUUGUCAUGGGGCAGUCUGAUCUUGGGCUCAUAUCAUGGCCCUCACACCUUCUGUCUGAGGUGUCUCCGCCUAUCGUUAUGAGACGGCCUGAACAUGGACUCAUAUCAAGGUCCUCACACCUUCUGUCCAAGGUAUCUCCGCCUGUCGUCAUGAGACGGUCUGAACAUGGACCCAUAUCAUGGUCCUAACACCUUUCGUCUGAGGUGUCUCCGCCUGUUGUCAUGAGACGGUCUGAAUCUGGGCUCAUAUUAUAGCCCUCACACCUUCCAUCCGAAGUGUCUCCGCUCAUCGUGGAGCGGUCUGAAUCUAGGUUCAUAUCAUGGCCCACAAACCUUCCUCUAAGGUGUCUCUGCCCGUUGUCAUGGGACAGUCUGAUCUUGGACCCAUAUCAUGGUCCUCACACCUUCUGUCUAAGGUGUCUCUGCCUGUUGUCAUGAGACGGCCACAUCCUCCUUCAUCGGGGAUGUCUCUAGUGGCUCUAAGAUUCUCUACCACCAUGUGGACUUGGGAGAGAUUACUGCCACUGAUUACAUAGAAAGAUAAAGUUGUGGCAUACUCCUCGCAAUCCUCCACCUCGAUUUCUAUGUCUGGAGCUUCUACGCCUUUCUACUUGAUAGCUCCACCUACACCACUCUCUUUAGUGUCUUCGCCUUUCAUCAUAGGCGGUCACCUUUGUCACAGGCGUUUGCACCCCCUCAAUUAGGUGCCUCUGCAACAGCUCAUCUUUCCAUCAUUGCAUGCAUUGGAAAGGUCCUCGCUUGUUGCCUUCAUCAAGAGCACAAGAGAUUUCUUGUUGUAUAACUUUUUCACACCGUCUCUACUCUAAGCUUCAUCUGGGAACUCUUAUUCUCCUUGCACCUACUGUCUCAUUACAGUACCUCGUUGGAUCCUACGGGUACUCCUGCACAAUCUCCGUGUGCUCUCGUGCAAUUCCGGUUCUCUAGAUUUCUCCCUAUUUUUUGCUUUUAUGUUUGACAACAGCUCAUCCUGUCACAACAUUUAUCCAAGUCAAAAUAGGGUGCCAAUCUUUAUCCCCUUGUUGUAUUUCUCUUCCAUUAUCAGGGUCUUCAUUAAUUCUCCCUUCGAGAAAUUACAGUCACCGAAUCUAACUUCUUUGGAGAAAUCACCACUCCAUUAGAUCCUUGAACAUACGGAACCCAACUGUUCCUUUAUGUCGUCAUCUUGCUAGUCUUCAACAGUUUCAUUACAAACUGUUACAUAUACAAAAAUAGUACUGUGUGGAUGAUCCUUCAACUAAGCAAGUUCCCAGGAAAGAUUUGGAGGGGUCACACUGGUCCCGUGAUUAGUACUUAAAAGUGCAUGUUUAUCAAGGUUUUAUAUCAUCAUUUUGCACUUGAAGUAUCAAUAACUCCUUAACUAAAGCAUGUUUUAUAAUAACAAGUUUGAUACUAUAAGAUACCUUAAUUUAUGGUAAAUGCUCAUCUUAUAUGCAGGCCUAUCACAUAAAUAAAAUGAUUGAUUGAUGAGUUUAAGUAUUGAAAGUGAAAGGACAAAGAGAUGGCCAAACUUAGAAAAGAGAUGUCGGUGCAGUCCAAACCAGAACAUUGCUCGGUAAUUGGAUCAUAUUUGGAGCUCUAGAUCUCAGAUUUAGGUCCAUUUUAUAUGGAUGGAAAGGUAAUACAAAGGCCUACAACUUUCAUGAGGAGCCUAAGAUUUAAAAAGGUCGUUUUGAAGUCCAAAUUGAAGGAACAACGAAGAAGUCCGAAGCUGUCCUGCAGCCCAGACACUAUUUAGUGUUCAACCCAUAUCUUGAGUUCUAGAAGUCCAAAUGACCUCAUCUUUUUUUUUUUGGAAAGCUGAGACAAUUUCCUAGAACAUUCCUGAGGAUUCUGGGCAAAUUAUUAUGUUAGAAAUGACGUUUUGUUCAGACAAGAAGAUAAGGAUUGUCACCAAGUCAAGAUGUGGCCACCCACUCAUCAAUUAGUCAACAAAUCAAUAGUUCUAAAUUUUGGCCUAUAAAAGGAGGCACUUACCAUGUAUUGAGGCAUCUUGGUUUCCAGAUCAAGAUCAUGCUCUUGCUUUCUCUCUUUGUAUUGCUUAUGUCUUGCUUUCAUUAAUAUCAAGUUUAUGCACUUCAUUUUCUUUCCUUUACUUAGUUAACUUCUUUCUCAUUUAUGUUCUUAUCUUGUUCAUUUAUGUUUCUUUCUUUCAUUAUGUUCAGCUAAGUUAAUUAUGUCAAGGUGAAAAGGGUACACUAAUGGUGUAAGAAUAAGUAUAAUAUAAACUUAACAUGGACCUUAACGUUGGAUACUAACAUGUUUUAUAUUUGUUAUCUUGUUCACUUUUAAUACUUUGCUUGUUAAAUGGUUAAUCUAGAUUUAUGUUAUAUAACAUUUGGUACAACAAAUACUUGGUACUUUCAUAGCCCAUACUGUAUGGUAUAACCGACACCUGAGCUAUAAAAGGAACUUGAUUUGUUGUUAACAUAAGUUAUAAUCAUGAAUGCCUGCCAACAUUUACAAGUAUUAGCUUUAUUCGAAUAAGAUAACUAAUGUAAUCAUGUUAACAAUUUAUAAUCUGAUUGGAACCUCCUUUAUGUGUGGUUUCCAAUUGAGUAAUAAGAGUUUAUACUAUACUUGUUUGAAAUACCAUUAGUGGAUCCUCUAACCUUGACAUUUGUUGUUGUUAUUGUUUAAUCCUUACGUUAAUCUUUCAUCUCAAAGUUCUCAUUAAUUUCUUCAUCUUCUGCUUUUAUUAUUAUUAUUAUUAUUAUUAUUAUUAUUAUUAUUUACAUUCUGUUUAUAUUAUAUAAUAUAUAUCUUUGAUCUUUUCAUAAACUCAGUAUAUAGGCUGGAAACCUGUGACCCGAUCUUUUAGAUUAUUCUCAGGUAUAACAACGCCACGUACUAAGUAUUAUAAUUAUUAUUGUUGUUAUUAUUGUUGUUGUUGUUAUUGUUGUUGUAUUGUUAUUUAUAAUUUAUACAAUUAAUCUCUAUGUGGUUCGACCCCGGUUUUGCCGGGUUAUUUAUUACUUCGACACUCCUGCACUUGGGAAAAGACAUCAAGCUUUAGGUCGUGUCAAGUUUUUGGCGCCGUUGCCGGGGAGGUAAAUUCUUGUAUAAAUUAUAAUUUUUAUUUCUUUUUAUUUUUUUCAUUUUAUUUAAUUUUGUUUCUUUUCUUUUCUUGCUUUUAUUCUCUUUUUACACGUGCAUGAGAGUUUGGUCACGUAUAUUAAGUGGUCGACUUUGUAGGGUAUCCUCAUCAUUUUUAGAAAAUAUGGCUGAAGAAGAUAAUCAAUCGCUUCAUAAUGAGAAUAAUGAGAAUAACCGUAUGAGAACACUUAGAAAUCACAUGAAUCCCACAAGAACAAGUGCACCCUCAUGCAUAGUUUUCCCUUUCCUUUCCUGGUAUGAUACAAGCAUGAGGCUAGUAGAAUGCAAGGACAAGUGUCUAAAAAACUACAAUUGCACGGCAUAUGCAAAUUCAAAUAUCACAGGAGAAGGCAGUGGCUGCAUACUCUGGUUCGGUGAAUUGGCUGAUAUGAGAGAGUUUAGUUAUGGGGGCCAAGACCUCUACAUAAGGAUGCCACCACCUUUGAAAACAG
This 7736-nucleotide long non-coding RNA is filed under the name Populus tremula. Its description in RNAcentral is "long non-coding RNA (PTRE_LNC000313)". Lineage: Eukaryota; Viridiplantae; Streptophyta; Magnoliopsida; Malpighiales; Salicaceae. The record is from RNAcentral.